AGCAUGUUUGCAGGGGAGUUUUUCUACAUCGGCAUGGCCAGCAACGUCCACCUCUCUGCACAUUCGUCCCCCUGUGACGGUUCAUAAAGUGCAGCAGUAUCGAACAGGAACAUAACCACUUGCACGAAGGGCACGUUCACUCGAGAGCAGCUUCAGGACAACUUCUCUUACGUCAUCCUCAAGUAGGUUGUGCGGUGAGGUUGUUACAGAACACUGAUGGAAGUAAGAUUCUAGACUGUCAAGCUUGAUAGAAAUGUUAAAUAAACAUUUGAUCUGUUCUAUUCAACAACAACAAAAAUGCUUGUGAUGCCAAAGUGUUUUUUUUAGGUCUUUUUCAUUCGCGGAACAUAAGGCUACCACAAAGAAAGCUAAUACAGAGUUAUAAAGUUAUUGCUGUUAAUAUAUAUUUUUGUCAU
RNAcentral lists this long non-coding RNA (416 nucleotides) under Oncorhynchus kisutch (coho salmon). RNAcentral describes it as "lncRNA (ENSOKIG00005023943.1)". Lineage: Eukaryota; Metazoa; Chordata; Actinopteri; Salmoniformes; Salmonidae. The record is from RNAcentral.